UGAACCCUGGGCAAGCCACAUGAGCAGU
RNAcentral lists this non-coding RNA (28 nucleotides) under Mus musculus (house mouse). The record is from RNAcentral. Lineage: Eukaryota; Metazoa; Chordata; Mammalia; Rodentia; Muridae.